GAUCAUGGCUCAGGAUGAACGCUGGCGGCGUGCCUAACACAUGCAAGUCGAGCGAUCUCUUCGGAGAGAGCGGCGGACGGGUGAGUAACGCGUGGGUAACCUGCCCUGUACGCACGGAUAACAUACCGAAAGGUAUGCUAAUACGGGAUAAUAUAUAAGAGUCGCAUGACUUUUAUAUCAAAGAUUUUUUCGGUACAGGAUGGACCCGCGUCUGAUUAGCUUGUUGGCGGGUAACGCC
Molecule: ribosomal RNA, 238 nt
Filed under: uncultured bacterium
Lineage: Bacteria
Description: partial 16S ribosomal RNA
Rfam family: Bacterial small subunit ribosomal RNA
Source: RNAcentral